GGAGAGAUGGCAGAGUGGUCGAAUGCACUGGUCUUGAAAACCAGCGUACCGCAAGGUACCGGGGGUUCGAAUCCCUCUCUCUCCGCCA
RNAcentral lists this transfer RNA (88 nucleotides) under Schleiferiaceae bacterium. Its description in RNAcentral is "tRNA-Ser". It matches the Rfam family "tRNA". From Rfam's summary of the family: Transfer RNA (tRNA) molecules are approximately 80 nucleotides in length. Their secondary structure includes four short double-helical elements and three loops (D, anti-codon, and T loops). The record is from RNAcentral. Lineage: Bacteria; Pseudomonadati; Bacteroidota; Flavobacteriia; Flavobacteriales; Schleiferiaceae.